UACGUAGGUGGCAAGCGUUGUCCGGAUUUAUUGGGCGUAAAGGGAGCGCAGGCGGUGACUUAAGUCUGAUGUGAAAGCCCACGGCUCAACCGUGGAAGGUCAUUGGAAACUGGGGAACUUGAGUGCAGAAGAGGAGAGUGGAAUUCCACGCGUAGCGGUGAAAUGCGUAGAGAUGUGGAGGAACACCAGUGGCGAAGGCGACUCUCUGGUCUGUAACUGACGCUGAGGUGCGAAAGCGUGGGUAGCAAACAGGAUUAGAUACCCCCGUA
RNAcentral lists this ribosomal RNA (269 nucleotides) under uncultured prokaryote. Its description in RNAcentral is "partial 16S ribosomal RNA". It matches the Rfam family "Bacterial small subunit ribosomal RNA", at positions 524 to 792 of the family's 1533-position model. The record is from RNAcentral.